Transfer RNA from Limnothrix sp. P13C2, 73 nucleotides. It matches the Rfam family "tRNA". From Rfam's summary of the family: Transfer RNA (tRNA) molecules are approximately 80 nucleotides in length. Their secondary structure includes four short double-helical elements and three loops (D, anti-codon, and T loops). The record is from Rfam. NCBI's taxonomy places the organism in Bacteria, Bacillati, Cyanobacteriota, Cyanophyceae, Pseudanabaenales, Pseudanabaenaceae.
GCUGGCGUAGCUCAGUUGGUAGAGCAACUGACUUGUAAUCAGUAGGUCAGGGGUUCAAGUCCCCUUGCCAGCU